UGUUGCGCAGGACGCGGGCUGCUCUGUUUCACGAACUGCCAGCGCCGCCCGGCCGCAUGGCUGGUGUUCGACGGAUUGCCCCAGUGGGUGUCGAGUCGAAGUUGUUCCUCUUGGGGACUGCGUCUCUGAGGUUAAAGAAGUUGAGAUUUUAUUCAGGAGACUUGGCGUCAAGCACGGCGAGGACUGUGCUCAAUUGUUCUGAUGCCUGUCAAGUGACACUGCCAUACACCUGCACACUCCGAUUCCAGGAAGCUGCUGGCACAAGGCUUGGCAUUAGCUGGUAUCUGAGUUGGAAUGCAUAUGGGGAAUGACUUGGUUCGUAUUCAAUGAACUUCCCCGGAUGGACUGCAUAGUUGGUUUCCGGUGAAAUGCCUAUUGGAUGAAGUCAUGUGCAAGAUCAAUCAUUCUGGGACUGCAGAUCGUAAUCCCAUGGCUUGCUGGUCUAUCCCACGGUGGAUCGUGUACAGCUGUGUUCCGGUAGAAUACCUGAGCUACAUGCUACAACGCUUGGCAUUUGUCUGGCUUUACAAUUAUCUCAAGUCAUUCUGUCCAUCAUGGUUCAUCAUGCUGCUGUUGUGCUAUAACGCUACUUGGAUUCAUCAGGAUACAUAAAUGAACUCUGUGCUUACAUUUUUGUGCUAUUUAUUUAUAAAUAGGAUGUCGAACCCGGUCUA
Molecule: long non-coding RNA, 674 nt
Organism: Hordeum vulgare subsp. vulgare (domesticated barley)
Lineage: Eukaryota; Viridiplantae; Streptophyta; Magnoliopsida; Poales; Poaceae
Exons: 2
Source: RefSeq, a predicted model, not a curated record